This 479-nucleotide ribosomal RNA is filed under the name uncultured bacterium. RNAcentral describes it as "bacterial SSU rRNA". It matches the Rfam family "Bacterial small subunit ribosomal RNA", at positions 28 to 498 of the family's 1533-position model. The record is from RNAcentral.
GAUGAACGCUAGCGGCAGGCUUAAUACAUGCAAGUCGAGGGGCAGCAUAAGUAGCAAUACUUGAUGGCGACCGGCAAACGGGUGCGGAACACGUACGCAACCUUCCUUUAAGUGGGGAAUAGCCCGGGGAAACCCGGAUUAAUACCCCGUAAUAUUAUGAUGUGGCAUCACAUUAUAAUUAUAGAUUCAUCGCUUAAGAUGGGCGUGCGCCUGAUUAGGUAGUUGGCGGAGUAAUAGCCCACCAAGCCUGCGAUCAGUAACUGGUGUGAGAGCACGACCAGUCACACGGGCACUGAGACACGGGCCCGACUCCUACGGGAGGCAGCAGUAAGGAAUAUUGGUACAAUGGACGCAAGUCUGAACCAGCCAUGCCGCGUGGAGGAUGAAGGUCCUCUGGAUUGUUAAACUUCUUUUAUUUGGGAAGAAAUGUGAUGUAUUCUUUUAUCACUUGUACGGUACCAGAUGAAUAAGCACCGGCU